This 483-nucleotide ribosomal RNA is filed under the name uncultured bacterium. RNAcentral describes it as "partial 16S ribosomal RNA". It matches the Rfam family "Bacterial small subunit ribosomal RNA", at positions 28 to 507 of the family's 1533-position model. The record is from RNAcentral.
GACGAACGCUGGCGGCGUGCUUAACACAUGCAAGUCGAACGCUGAAGCUCAGCUUUUGUUGGGUGGAUGAGUGGCGAACGGGUGAGUAACACGUGAGUAACCUGCCUCCUUCUUUGGGAUAACGCCCGGAACCGGGUGCUAUUCCUGGAUUUUACCUGGUCUUCCCUUGGGGGUUGGUGGAAAGGGUUUUUUUGGUGGGGGAUGGGUUCGCGGCCUAUCAGCUUGUUGGUGGGGUGAUGGCCUACCAAGGCUUUGACGGGUAGCCGGCCUGAGAGGGUGACCGGUCACAUUGGGACUGAGAUACGGCCCAGACUCCUACGGGAGGCAGCAGUGGGGAAUAUUGCACAAUGGGCGCAAGCAUGAUGCAGCGACGCCGCGUGAGGGAUGGAGGCCUUCGGGUUGUGAACCUCUUUCGCUAAUGGUCAAGCCGCAACAAUGGUUGUGGUGAGGGUAGUGGGUAAAGAAGCGCCGGCUAACUACGUG